AUGGCCGUACUCUUCUCUCCAGAGGAGGAAGAGAGGAGGGAGAGGGAGGAGACGGAGAGGAUAGUCAAGCUGCAGAGGGAGCUGCAGAGGAACAGGGAGAUGGAAGCAGAGAACCUUUAUUUGCAAGAGCAGCUUAGAGAGGUUGAGCUCAGCAGGCAACAGCACGCUGCUGAUUUGCAGGAGAAAAAUAGGCUUUCCCGAUUGUUGGAGCAUAAGAAUGCUUUCCUGGAAAGAGUUGUCCAACGUCGAGAAGCUGAGUUUAAUAGCCAAAAGAAAGAGAGGGCAGAAAGGAUUAAUCAGUUGAUUUCAAGAAAGCGUGCAAAGGAGACUCUGCUGAAAUUGAUGUAUUAUCUGUUUCCGGAGGAAGAGCGGAUCCAAAUGUUCCACGUAGUAGACGCUAGAAAACGUGAAGAGGAAGAGAGGCGGAAGAGGGAAGAUGCGGAGAUGAGACUAAAGCUCGACACACUUAAAGCUAAGCUCGACGCACUUAAAGCUAGCUAA
This 501-nucleotide ribosomal RNA is filed under the name Triticum aestivum (bread wheat). RNAcentral's name for it is "partial small subunit ribosomal RNA". Lineage: Eukaryota; Viridiplantae; Streptophyta; Magnoliopsida; Poales; Poaceae. The record is from RNAcentral.